RNAcentral lists this ribosomal RNA (451 nucleotides) under uncultured bacterium. RNAcentral describes it as "partial 16S ribosomal RNA". It matches the Rfam family "Bacterial small subunit ribosomal RNA", at positions 354 to 796 of the family's 1533-position model. The record is from RNAcentral.
GUGGGGAAUAUUGGACAAUGGGGGGAACCCUGAUCCAGCCAUGCCGCGUGUGUGAAGAAGGCCUUUUGGUUGUAAAGCACUUUAAGCGAGGAGAAGGCUACCGAGAUUAAUACUCUUGGAUAGUGGACGUUACUCGCAGAAUAAGCACCGGCUAACUCUGUGCCAGCAGCCGCGGUAAUACAGAGGGUGCAAGCGUUAAUCGGAUUUACUGGGCGUAAAGCGCGCGUAGGUGGCCAAUUAAGUCAAAUGUGAAAUCCCCGAGCUUAACUUGGGAAUUGCAUUCGAUGGUGGUUGGCUAGAGUAUGUGAGAGGAUGGUAGAAUUCCAGGUGUAGCGGUGAAGUGCGUAGAGAUCUGGAGGAAUACCGAUGGCGAAGGUAGCCAUCUGGCCUAAUACUGACACUGAGGUGCGAAAGCAUGGGGAGCAAACAGGAUUAGAUACCCCAGUAGUCC